This 762-nucleotide non-coding RNA is filed under the name unclassified sequences. Its description in RNAcentral is "MISL RNA". It matches the Rfam family "MISL RNA". The record is from Rfam by way of RNAcentral.
GGAUAAUCCUGGGAAACCAGGGAAAGGAUUAUGACAACUGGUGCCAUAAUCCCCUAAACGAACGUAUUAAAAACGUAGACGAAAGGCAUAAUCACCAGUUCCUCUGGCCGGUGUCAUGACCGGUCAGUAUCAUGAAUCAGGGACUAGGAAGCGAGAUACGAUUAGAAACCGUAUACGAGCUAACGUUAGGCAUCUGGGAACGUUUCGAUCCCUUGUGCCAAACGCAGUAACCCAGAGGGUUUUAGCUGCAACUGCAAAUGACCAGAACGCUAUCAUAUUUCUCGGCGAGCCGACCUCGCCAAAAGGCCCGGAUGCAUAAACAACAUCUAGGCGCGCAAAGGAAAUAUAACAGCGGGGAGAGAGCGAACCAGGCAAAGUUCGUAAAACCUCCUCAAACCGGGCGGAGUGAAAAACACUUCACCCUACUGUAAAGCGAUCGCAGCUUGAGAGUUAAGAGGCCAGACCCGCAACGCAGGGCAAACGAUCGGCUAACAACCGGUGCCGUCCUUGUGUAAAAGGUAUAGACGCAAAAAACGCAUUACAGGCGUGUCUACACCUCGUUUAGCGUGCAAUUCUCGGCAGAGAAUUACCGAACUAAGCGAAAAGACCUCACUCAAUAAACUCCAAUCAGUAAUGAUAGGAGCGAUCCCGCUAUGAGAUCGAUAACUUCGCAUGCCGCGGAGAGUGGCGUCGGGGAACAUACGGCCCGCGAAAGCGAGAGCGCCCAAUGUAUGUACAGGGAAAGAUUGCGUGGCGAGCAAC